Molecule: ribosomal RNA, 253 nt
Filed under: uncultured Comamonadaceae bacterium
Lineage: Bacteria; Pseudomonadati; Pseudomonadota; Betaproteobacteria; Burkholderiales; Comamonadaceae
Description: partial 16S ribosomal RNA
Rfam family: Bacterial small subunit ribosomal RNA
Source: RNAcentral
UACGUAGGGUGCAAGCGUUAAUCGGAAUUACUGGGCGUAAAGCGUGCGCAGGCGGUUUUGUAAGGCAGUGGUGAAAUCCCCGGGCUCAACCUGGGAACUGCCAUUGUGACUGCAAGGCUGGAGUGCGGCAGAGGGGGAUGGAAUUCCGCGUGUAGCAGUGAAAUGCGUAGAUAUGCGGAGGAACACCGAUGGCGAAGGCAAUCCCCUGGGCCUGUACUGACGCUCAUGCACGAAAGCGUGGGGAGCAAACAGG